UGGGCAUACUUAGUACGGCGAGUGAAGCGGUAAAAGCUCAAAUUUGAAAUCUGGUACUUUCAGUGCCCGAGUUGUAAUUUGUAGAAUUUGUCUUUGAUUAGGUCCUUGUCUAUGUUCCUUGGAACAGGACGUCAUAGAGGGUGAGAAUCCCGUUUGGCGAGGAUACCUUUUCUCUGUAAGACUUUUUCGAAGAGUCGAGUUGUUUGGGAAUGCAGCUCAAAGUGGGUGGUAAAUUCCAUCUAAAGCUAAAUAUUGGCGAGAGACCGAUAGCGAACAAGUACAGUGAUGGAAAGAUGAAAAGAACUUUGAAAAGAGAGUGAAAAAGUACGUGAAAUUGUUGAAAGGGAAGGGCAUUUGAUCAGACAUGGUGUUUUUUGCAUGCACUCGCCUCUCGUGGGCUUGGGCCUCUCAAAAAUUUCACUGGGCCAACAUCAAUUCUGGCAGCAGGAUAAAUCAUUAAGAAUGUAGCUACUUCGGUAGUGUUAUAGCUUUUUGGAAUACUGUUAGCCGGGAUUGAGGACUGCGCUUCGGCAAGGAUGUUGGCAUAAUGGUUAAAUGCCGCCCGUCUUGAACCACGGACC
This 581-nucleotide ribosomal RNA is filed under the name Hanseniaspora uvarum. Its description in RNAcentral is "LSU rRNA". It matches the Rfam family "Eukaryotic large subunit ribosomal RNA", at positions 70 to 667 of the family's 3401-position model. The record is from RNAcentral. Lineage: Eukaryota; Fungi; Ascomycota; Saccharomycetes; Saccharomycodales; Saccharomycodaceae.